This is a long non-coding RNA of Cimex lectularius (bed bug), 710 nucleotides long. RefSeq lists it as uncharacterized. The record is from RefSeq and is a predicted model, not a curated record. The transcript is spliced from 3 exons. Lineage: Eukaryota; Metazoa; Arthropoda; Insecta; Hemiptera; Cimicidae.
CAUUAAAAAAUAUACGUCAUAGAGAGGAAAAUCCUUCGGCACCGUUACAGCCACUCGCCUGACCAGGCGACCUUUCGCAUUGCGACACACGUAUAGGCGUUUACCAGCUAUCACGGAGAGGCGAUCUAGUGCAGAUCUGUCUAUCAGAUUGAUGGCAGCCUGCACAAUGAAGGGCGCGGCGCAUAGCUCGCUCGUCAACAAAUCAUGCUCGAUGGCGCCUGUUCUGAACCGCUUACGAACAAACGUGGGAGUGUCUCGAAAUAUCACGGUCAAUAACCACCAGAUUUAAGGCAUAUAAAAUUUUGUAAAAUAAAAAAAUAAAAUAGUCACUGGGAUCUGAGAAAACAUCUUCACAACAUAAGAAUAACUCGGUAAACAAAGGAAACCCAGCGAAUGGAAGUGCAGCAACGAUAAUCAGUGUCCUAGUUCUUCUUAGGAGAAGGAUCGAGUCGAUUGAACUGAACUAAGGAAGUGGCCCAUUUCAAGUGGGAAAGUACAGCAAUCCAGAAAGCUGCAGUGCCUAGUAUCUAUCAUCACCAUCAUCAGACACGUUUCAGAAUUUCUCCAAUUUAUAUAUAUUUUUUUAAACGAAUGGAAAAAAACUAGCACGUGAUUAUGUGUCAAUUUGGAACCAACUUGCAAGAAUGAAAGGUUAUGUUUGUAUUAAAAUAAAAUAAUAUAAUAAUAAAAAUUGUCAAUUAGAUGUUGAU